GACGAACGCUGGCGGCGUGCUUAACACAUGCAAGUCGAACGAUGAAGCUGGAGCUUGCUCCGGUGGAUUAGUGGCGAACGGGUGAGUAACACGUGAGCAAUCUGCCCCUGACCCUGGGAUAACUGCGGGAAACUGGAUCUAAUACCGGCUAUGAGGCUUGGAGGCAUCUCCCGGUCUGGAGAGAAUUUCGGUCAAGGAUGAGCUCGCGGCCGAUCAGCUAGUUGGUGUGGUAAUGGCUCACCAAGGCGACGACGGGUAGCCGGCCUGAGAGGGUGACCGGCCACACUGGGACUGAGACACGGCCCAGACUCCUACGGGAGGCAGCAGUGGGGAAUAUUGCACAAUGGGCGAAAGCCUGAUGCAGCAACGCCGCGUGAGGGAUGAAGGCCUUCGGGUUGUAAACCUCUUUUAGCAGGGAAGAAGCGAAAGUGACGGUACCUGCAGAAAAAGCACCGGCUAACUACGUGCCAGCAGCCGCGGUAA
RNAcentral lists this ribosomal RNA (483 nucleotides) under uncultured bacterium. Its description in RNAcentral is "partial 16S ribosomal RNA". It matches the Rfam family "Bacterial small subunit ribosomal RNA", at positions 28 to 523 of the family's 1533-position model. The record is from RNAcentral.